AGAGCGAACGCUGGCGGCAGGCCUAACACAUGCAAGUCGAACGGACCCUUCGGGGUUAGUGGCGGACGGGUGAGUAACACGUGGGAACGUGCCUUUAGGUUCGGAAUAGCUCCUGGAAACGGGUGGUAAUGCCGAAUGUGCCCUUCGGGGGAAAGAUUUAUCGCCUUUAGAGCGGCCCGCGUCUGAUUAGCUUGUUGGUGAGGUAAUGGCUCACCAAGGCUACGAUCAGUAGCUGGUCUGAGAGGAUGACCAGCCACAUUGGGACUGAGACACGGCCCAAACUCCUACGGGAGGCAGCAGUGGGGAAUCUUGCGCAAUGGGCGAAAGCCUGACGCAGCCAUGCCGCGUGUAUGAUGAAGGUCUUAGGAAUUGUAAAAUACUUUCACCGGUGAAGAUAAUGACUGUAGCCGGAGAAGAAGCCCGGCUAACUUCGUGCCAGCAGCCGACGA
RNAcentral lists this ribosomal RNA (449 nucleotides) under uncultured soil bacterium. RNAcentral's name for it is "bacterial SSU rRNA". It matches the Rfam family "Bacterial small subunit ribosomal RNA", at positions 26 to 520 of the family's 1533-position model. The record is from RNAcentral.